UGUAAUUUAUUCUUUUAUUUUAUUUAAUUUUUAAAGCAAUCUGGGAUGUAAUCUGUGAUGUGUGUUGCACGUCGAUGGUUGAUCGAUAUGUACAUCAACAAGCUCAACAUGCACGGAUCGAGAUCAAGGGUUGAUUGAAGAUGGAUCAAGGAGUUGAUCACAAUUGGACCAAGGGGAUCAAGAUCGAGUUAAGAGUUGAAGACGAUCUAACCAAUUGACGUGCAUGUGCUUGUAAAAUGACCCCAUCCUAGAUCCAUGAUCAUCACCAGUU
Molecule: long non-coding RNA, 271 nt
Filed under: Phoenix dactylifera (date palm)
Lineage: Eukaryota; Viridiplantae; Streptophyta; Magnoliopsida; Arecales; Arecaceae
Description: long non-coding RNA (PDAC_LNC008811)
Source: RNAcentral